AACGAGAAAGCGUCCUUCGGGGCGUGAGUAAAGUGGCGAACGGGUGAGUAACGCGUGGGUAACCUGCCCCUGAAUCUGGAAUAACUUCGCGAAAGCGAGGCUAAUACCGGAUAUUGUCCCAGGGACCGUGGUCCUUGUGAUGAAAGAUGACCUCUUCACGAAAGUUGUCGUUCAGGGAGGGGCCCGCGUACCAUUAGCUAGUUGGUAGGGUAAUGGCCUACCAAGGCGAAGAUGGUUAGCUGGUCUGAGAGGAUGACCAGCCACACUGGCACUGAAACACGGGCCAGACUCCUACGGGAGGCAGCAGUGAGGGAUUUUGCGCAAUAGGGGAAACCCUGACGCAGCAACGCCGCGUGAGUGAAGAAGGCCUUCGGGUCGUAAAGCUCUGUCAAGUGGGAAAAAAGCUUGCUGGUGAAUAGCCAGUAAGACUGAUGGUACCAUUGAAGGAAGCACCGGCUAACUCCGUGCCAGCAGCCGCGGUAAUACGGAGGGUGCAAGCGUUGUUCGGAAUUACUGGGCGUAAAGGGCGUGUAGGCGGCGUGGUAAGUCAGAUGUGAAAGCCCUGGGCUUAACCCAGGAAGUGCAUUUGAAACUGCCAUGCUUGAGUAUGGGAGAGGAGAGUGGAAUUCCCAGUGUAGAGGUGAAAUUCGUAGAUAUUGGGAGGAACACCCGUGGCGAAGGCGACUCUCUGGACCAAUACUGACGCUGAGGCGCGAAAGCGUGGGGAGCAAACAGGAUUAGGUACCCUGGUAGUCCACGCCGUAAACGAUGAGCACUAGGUGUAGCGGGUAUUGACCCCUGCUGUGCCGUAGCUAACGCAUUAAGUGCUCCGCCUGGGGAGUACGGCCGCAAGGCUAAAACUCAAAGGAAUUGACGGGGGGCCCGCACAAGCGGUGGAGCAUGUGGUUCAAUUCGACGCAACGCGAAGAACCUUACCUGGAUUUGACAUCCUUUGACAGCUCCGGAAACGGAGUUUUCCCUGCUUGCAGGGACAGAGUGACAGGUGCUGCAUGGCUGUCGUCAGCUCGUGUCGUGAGAUGUUGGGUUAAGUCCCGCAACGAGCGCAACCCCUCUCUCUAGUUGCCCAUAUUCAGUUAGGCACUCUAGAGAUACUGCCUCGGUUAACGGGGAGGAAGGUGGGGACGACGUCAAGUCCUCAUGGCCUUUAUAUCCAGGGCUACACACGUGCUACAAUGGGCGGUACAAAGGGUUGCCAGUCCGUGAGGAGGAGCUAAUCCCAAAAAGCCGCUCUCAGUUCGGAUCGGAGUCUGCAACUCGACUCCGUGAAGUUGGAAUCGCUAGUAAUCGUGGAUCAGCAUGCCACGGUGAAUACGUUCCCGGGCCUUGUACACACCGCCCGUCACACCACGAAAGUUGGCUGUACCAGAAGUUGC
This 1394-nucleotide ribosomal RNA is filed under the name uncultured delta proteobacterium. RNAcentral's name for it is "bacterial SSU rRNA". It matches the Rfam family "Bacterial small subunit ribosomal RNA", at positions 65 to 1430 of the family's 1533-position model. The record is from RNAcentral. Lineage: Bacteria; Deltaproteobacteria.